RNAcentral lists this unclassified non-coding RNA (195 nucleotides) under uncultured fungus. RNAcentral describes it as "sequence contains ITS1". Lineage: Eukaryota; Fungi. The record is from RNAcentral.
GUUUUCUAUUUUCAUAGAGAUAUAAGUCAAAUUAUAAAGGUUUGUUAAAAAUGCUGGGCCCCUCAUACCGUAAGGUAUGGAAAAGACCCAAAGAUACAGUAUAGUGCACAAAGUGUUAAUCUUCGAUAGGACUCCUUUCGGAAUCAACUAAAGAAAAAAUCAGUAAUGAUCCAACCGCAGGUUCACCUACGGUUA